GUAGUCUUGGGGGUGUAGCAUGGGGGAUUCGGAGCUAAUAAAAGUUGGGGUCUUCUUUUGUUGGGGGCUUCCAUCUUGUUCCACCUGGUGGCAGGUGGGAGUCCUGUGGCCACAGUCUUCAAUCAAGACCAAGCCGACUGGCUGCUCUUUUGCUCUGCUCUUCCUGGCUGGUCUCCUUGUUUCUGGUCCAAGGGAUCCCUCAGAUUUUGGAAUCCGCUUCUGGCUCCAAUUGUAUCGGCUGCUUUGCUGAGCCUCUUGGCUGUUGUGCAUGGACGGUGCCUGUGUCCACGGUCAUUGUCCUGGCCUUAGUCAGAGGCUGGGGUGGGGAGCUGGGAUUUGGGGGGAGUCGUUUAGCUGCC
Molecule: non-coding RNA, 359 nt
Organism: Podarcis lilfordi (Lilford's wall lizard)
Lineage: Eukaryota; Metazoa; Chordata; Lepidosauria; Squamata; Lacertidae
Source: the annotation of a GenBank genome assembly